GUGAAAUCAAAUACCCGAAGGACUGUGCCUGCCUCUCUCUCUCUCUCUUGGGCGAGUGCACUGCUCUUUUUGGUAUGUACCAUACCUUGCUUAAUAACUUGUGUGGGUGGGUGUUGAAACAUAGCACAGAGAAGCAGUUUGCUGGGAUGUUUAUAAUUACACUAAGCAAUUUAGGCACAGAGGUUGCUGUUCAGGAAAUCGGGGCAUUAUGUGGCUGUUAAAUCACAGCGGUAUUUGGGAUAUGAUUAAACUUCUGUGGGCAUCCUUUCAAAAGCCCUUAGCUGAUGGGACCUUUGCGAUUUGACCUCCUGGGCACCCCAUCUUGACUCUGGCAAAAGAACUGUCUGUUUUUUGAGAAACUGGGCAGAUUGGUAGGUAUUGAACUGGUGGGACUUAACAAAGCUGAUGAUCAGCAGCCUGGAAACCAAGCCUUACGGGAAAAGGCUGAAGGAGCUAGGUAUGUUUAGCCUGGAAAAGAGGAGACUGAGAGGAGAUACGAUAGCCAUCUUCAAAUAUCUUAAGGGCUGUCACAUGGAAGAGGGAACAAGUUUGUUUUUUUCCUGCUCUGGAAGGUAGUACUUGAACCAAUGGCUUCAAGUUGCAAGAAAGGAGAUUCCGACUAAACAUUAUCUUUCUGACAAUAAGAGCUGUUUGACAGUGGAACGGUCUCUCUUGGGAGGUUGUGGACUCUCCUUCUGUUAUGUACUGAGCUGAAUUCUAGAACAAUAGAAUCCAGAAUGCAGCAGUCUGACUGGUCCUCAGGAGCAACCCAAUCCAGCUCCAGGUGGAAGUGAAUCAGCGACCUGAUUGGCCUGCAGGAGCAGCCAAUCAGGCUUCUGGAGGAGGUGAAUCUGCAACCUGAUUGGCCUACAGGAGCAGCCCAGAAUUAGCCAAUCACGCGGGGCCCAUUGUGUAAAUAAUGUAUAUACAGCUAGACGUUUUGGGGAAAGUUUCAUUCAUUGCUACUAUGAGCUGAAUAAAGAGCAUGAAAUUCACACUUGACUCCGAGUAUAUUUCACCUUCCUUGGAGGUUUUUAAGCAGAGGCUGGAUGGCCAUCUGCUAUGGAUGCUUUAGCUGAGAUUGCAGCAUUGCAGGGGGUUGGACUAGAUGACCCUUGGCGUCCCUUCCAACUCUUACAAUUCUAUGAUUCUUUUAUGGAAAAAGCAGGUGGGUUUUAUUAGUAUAUGUAGAUCCCAACUUUCCUCCAAGGUAGCAUGCAUGGUUUUCUCCUCAUCUUAUUCCCUGAACAGCCCUGUGAGGUUGAUUAGACAUAGGCCAUUCAUAUCAUACAUUUAAAACACUAUGACACCACUUUAAAUAGUCAUGGCUUCCCCCACAAAAUCAUGGGAGCUACAGCUUGUUAAGCAUGCUGAGAGCUGCCAGGAGAUCCUGUUCUCCUCACAGAACUACGAUUUACUGAGUGGUGUUGUUGGUUUCUGCUUUCCUUCACUGUGCAGCUCUGCUUGUCACGAGACAGGUGUUUACAUUCCACAGUCUGUACUGUUGGAGUUUCUCACGGGAAAGGGAGACUGGAUGUGACGUACACUGGUUUCCUGUUUUUCACUGUGUGAUUCUCUCCGAGCUGUUGAGGAGAGAGGAUGCAUUUUCUGCUCCGGCAGAGGCAAGAUGUCUUUCUGUAAUAUACCAGCUUUGAACUGUAAAUAAAGCAAUAUAGAGUAUGCAGCACGUAUUCCUCAUCCUUCCGCUGGGCACGAGACUCUGCUUUAAAUCAACACGUGGUUAUGGGCUCCAGAAGUCGAAUCGGAGUGCCGGCAAAGGAUCGGAAUGCAGAGGGACAGAUCGGAACGGAAUCUGCUCUGCGCGUAGAAGUGAUUGAUGAGGUAUGUGCUACUGCUCCGGGCAGCCUGCCAGCUUCAAGUUAAUGGCUUUAUGGCUGGACUUUGAACUUUUAAAGCCGGUUUUGCCGGGAAUAGGCAAAAGGCUCCCAGGCACAAGUCACUAUGCUGGGGAAAUCGAAAGUAACUUUUAAGUGCGCCUUUGUAAUAAGGCAGCUGCAGCAGUGACGCAGCAAGAUUUAAAGCAGCAUAUAUAUGACGCUGAAGGCUAAUGCCAGAGUCAUGAUGGCCCUUCAGGAUGCUUGUGGGAUUCCUAAGCUCAACAAGAAAAAUUACAGCGACUGGGUUCAGUAUGCAGAGGCAAUUCUGCGGAAAGAGGGUUUGUUUGAGGUGAUUACAGAAACCCACCAGUUCCAGUUACAGAUGCAUGGAAAGCUAAGGAUUCCAAAGCAAGGGGAACUCUUACAUUGAUAGUAUCCCCAGAAGAGCUCUGUCUAUUGCGUGAUAAGACCUCAGCCAGAGAAAUUUGGGACGCUUUGAGAGAGGCUCACUUAAGGACAGAAGCUGGAUCCACUAUGUUUUACUUUAACAAGCUGCAUAAUAUGGCUCUUGCUGAAGGUGGAGAUGUGCGUUUACAUCUGAUGGAGAUGCAAAAUCUGAGACAUGAGCUGCAACAGAGAGGACUCAACUUUCCAGAGGCUGUGUAUUCUUUCAUGAUACUACAAUCUUUGGGUUCAGGUUGGGAGUCUGUUGCAACCCAGAUUGCUGUGCAACCAACUGCUCAGCUGACAGUGGACUUUGUUACUGCCGUGAUUUUAAAUGAAGCAGAUCGCCGGGGUGCUAGCUGCAUGGGCAAGGGGAGUCUUCACAGACGUCAUCCCAUAGUGCAGUGGAACCACCAGAUGGCGCCAAAGCUUUGAAGGCAGUGAAAUGCUACUCGUGUGGACGUCUAGGCCAUAUGAAGAGGGAAUGCAGACAUCCCAGGGCCAAGACAGAGCAGCGCAGCGAAAGCUCAUCGCGCGGAAAAGGCCGAGGCAAAGGCAAAGGUCCGGUGUCAGGGACAACGCAGCACAAGGCUAUGGUUUCACGCUUCACUCCAAAGGUUGCAGAGGUCCAGAAGACGUCUAGAUCUUUCUUCGUUGUUGAUUCAGCGGCCACCCACCACAUGUGCAACGAUAAGAAACUGUUUGUGUCUUUUACACCGCAGGAAGGUGCGAUUCACCAGGCGGAUGACCACACUAUUCCCAGUAAAGGCUACGGAACUGUUGUUCUUCACAGUUUGGACUUAUCGAUACAGAAUGUGCUUUACGUGCCAGACGCCAAACAUAAUCUGCUCAGCGUUGGACAGCUGAAUGAGCGGAACAUUGACGUUUCCUUCAAGAACAAGAAGUGCAUCAUCACAAAGAAAAAUGAUUAUGUAUUGCAUGCAGAAUAUGUUGAUCGUUUGUUUGUUUUGUAUUAUGAUGAUGUGGUGCAGGAUGACACUUGUUGCAUUGCAGGUUCUAACAAAAGUUUGCAUGCAGAAUGUAUUCACGAUUUUCAUAGAAAAUUUGGUCAUUUGCAUUUUGAGGCAGUAUCUAAAAUGCCUGCCUUGGUUGAAGGUAUGACUAUUAAACCCUGCAGGUACCACAUGAAGUGCAAAGCAUGCGCAGCAAACAAAGUGAAAAUGGCUGCGAAAGGUAAGGUGUCUAGUAGGAAAGCUACAGAACCAUACCAGGUUGUUCAUGCUGAUUUGGUUGGACCACUAGCGCCCUCUUUGGGUGGAAAUAGAUACUUCAUGGUUCUCAUUGAUGCAUUUUCUAGAUAUAUUUUUGUGUACAAUCUCAAGCAGAAAUCGGAGGCUUUUCCUAGGUUCAAGGAAUUCUGUGCUUGGUUGGAAAAUGUGCAUGGUAAGAAGAUAAAGACUCUUUUCUGUGAUCGCGGGGGGGUAUUCACUUCUCAGCAGUUUGAAGCUUUUCUGACUGAGAAAGGAAUUCAACACGAUUUGUCUAGUCCUCGCUCGCCAUGGCAGAAUGGACUUGCGGAACGGGCAAAUCAGACAUUGCUUCAAGGGUUAAAAACCUUGCUGCAUGAUGCCAAUCUUCCAGAGAGUUAUUGGGCCGAAUCUCUCUCGUGUUUUGUUUACAGUUACAAUCGCAGGUUAUCUUCAGCGAUUGGUUGUACCUCUAUGAGAAGAUGUUUGGCAAGAAGCCAUACAUCAAACACAUGAAGAUUUUUGGUUCUGACAUGUGGGUUCGCUCACCACAAAACUCCAAGUUAGACAAGCGUGGAUUGCAUGGUAUCUUUCUAGGUUAUCAGAAAGGGUCUUACAGAAUAAUGAUGACUGACUCUAAGACAAUUAAGCUCACGAGAAGUGUUGAGUACAAUGCAAAGUGGGGGAGAAUGUGGGAAUUUUCCAAUGUUAUCCUGAUGACGGUGAUGAGACUGAGGAUAGUCAAAAGCAACCACAACAACCCACACCCACUGAUGAAGGUUCUGAGUCUGAAUCUGAAACUGAAUCGGGUGAUUCAGAGGAUUUCAAGAGUGCGAAAGCCUCUAUGCGACCCUCUGAAAGCUCUGAUCAAGAAUUGGAGGAACCAUUGUUCACAAUAGGUCGUUUUUCUCCUAAGAAGGAAGAGGAGAGUGUUGAAGACUUAAGGCUAAUUCGUAGGUCACAGAGAGCCACAAAAGGCAAACCUCCAAAGAGAUUUGCUGAUGAGUUUGCUACGAUAGCAGUAACAGCUGUUAAAAGCUCCAAGAAGGUAUUUGAACCUUCAAGUUUCCAAGAAAUCCAGGGUUUGGAUUCAAAGGAAGCUGAGCCAUGGUUAAAUGCCAUGAAGGCUGAGCUUGAUUCCUUAGAAAGGAACAAAACAUGGGAGCUAGUUCCAGUAGUUCCAGGAAUGAAACUGCUUGGAAGCAAAUGGGUCUUCAAAGCGAAGACAGAUCAAAAUGGCAAGAUAGUCAGACACAAAGCCAGAUUGGUAGCCAGAGGUUUUGCACAGGUACCAGGUCAAGACUAUCACGAGACCUAUUCACCCACAGUGAGAUAUGAAAGCAUUAGGCUUAUGCUCAAGCUAGCUGCAGAGGAAAAUCUACACAUUAGUCACCAUGAUAUUAAUACAGCUUUUCUGUACGGAUCUCUAGAUGAAUCACUUUAUAUGCUUCCACCUGAUGGCGUACAGGUAAAACAGGGAUUUGUUUGUGCUCUGAAGAAAUCCCUUUAUGGUCUCAAACAAAGUGCACGGUGUUGGCACACAAAACUCACUGAAGUAUUGUUUUCUCUAGGUUUUCAGCAAGGGAAAGCUGAUCCAUGUGUAUUUGUCAAAGAGGAGGGGCAAAAGAAACUGUACUGUUUGUUUUAUGUUGAUGAUUUAUUAUUCUUUUGGAAAGAUGUCGCAAUGUACAAUAACGCCCUAGCUCAACUGAAAGAGCACUUUGACAUGAAAGAUCUUGGUGAGGUAAACAACUACCUAUCUCUGGAAAUAGAGAGAGAUCAAGAUGGUAACAUUCUAGUACACCAGUCACGGAAAAUUGCUGAUGUGUUAAGCAAACUAAAUCUGAUGGAUGCUAACCCUGUAGACACACCGAUGACAACAGGUUAUCAGGUAGAUGACACUGAAGAAGCAUUUUCUGACACUACACUGUACAGGAGUGUGCUAGGCAAGCUAAACUUCAUUGCCAGAUGUUCAAGACCAGACAUUGCUGUUAGCUGUAAUUUGCUAAGCAGACAAGUCAACAAUCCUAGUGUCAAGCAUUGGAAAGCUCUGAAACGCAUAGCGCGGUAUUUGAAAGGCACUAUGCAUUACAGACUGAGAUUUAACAAUCAGAAGUCUGGUGGUCUUGAGAUAUUUGCAGAUGCAAGUUUUGGAAGUGACGCUACAGACAGGAAAGGUACGUCUGGAGUUUGCUACAUGUACAAUCAGAGUCUGUUUGAUUGGUCAUGCAAGAAGCAAACAACAGUUAGCUUAAGUACUUGUGAAGCCGAACUGAAUGCACUGUCUUAUUCACUUAAGGAUUGUGAAUGGUUAGUACAAUUGUGCAAAGAUAUGAAAAUUCCUGUCAAAUGUCCAAUCCAGGUUUACCAGGACAACAAAGCAUGUUUGGCUUUGCUGAAGUCUGAAGGUUGUAAGCAAAGCACAAAGCACUUGCAAUUAAAGUUGCAGCAUGCUAGGGAAUGUAUUCAGAAGGGACUCGUAACGGUGUCCUAUAUGCCAGGUAAUGAAAUUCCUGCUGAUGUAUUGUCCAAGAUUGUAUCAAGGGAUCAACACUGUACCUAUGUGCAGAAGUUGGGUUUGUACUGAUAUUGUACAAACACGCUGCCCAGUGAUGUUCACAGAAAGGGGGAGGAUGUUGGUUUCUGCUUUCCUUCACUGUGCAGCUCUGCUUGUCACGAGACAGGUGUUUACAUUCCACAGUCUGUACUGUUGGAGUUUCUCACGGGAAAGGGAGACUGGAUGUGACGUACACUGGUUUCCUGUUUUUCACUGUGUGAUUCUCUCCGAGCUGUUGAGGAGAGAGGAUGCAUUUUUCUGCUCCGGCAGAGGCAAGAUGUCUUUCUGUAAUAUACCAGCUUUGAACUGUAAAUAAAGCUAUAUAGAGUAUGCAGCACGUAUUCCUCAUCCUUCCGCUGGGCACGAGACUCUGCUUUAAAUCAACACGUGUAACAGUCAAUCCCUAUUCCCAGGGAACUCUGGGAAUUGUGAGGAAUAGGGCUGACCAGAGCUUCGGCUGAGAUCUAGAACUUGUUUUCAUAUCAAUGCUCAGUAAGCGAAAUAACAAGGAUGGUGGAAAAAGCACUGGCUUUUGUACAGACUGCUAUUCCUUCAAAGCUGACUGUUGUCAACAUCCCCCACUCUUCCCCAGUCAAGGUCAUAGUCCUCAAGGCUGGUUAAGUUAUUUUGUUCCACAAAUACCUCACCCUAAUAGUAAAAAAAUACAAAAAUAAACCAUGAACUAACUAGUGAUUUCCUGCUCUUUCUUAAUACCCAGCACUAGUUGCCUGAGGCAGCUACUUCACUCUGCCUAAUGCAUACCUGCCAAAAGCCCCGGAAAAAUUGGACAUCCUAUUUUCUCAUGCAAGAUCUCAGCUGCCAUUUUGGGUGCCACAAUAUUGCGUGCUCAGGGCCACGCUCUAGACCCAAAAAGCAUUUGGGGGUGCCUGAGAGCGUGGUGUGGGUCACAUGAUUCACCCAGAAGCACUUCCCAGAAGACACGCAUCCGAAAAAGUUGGAUGGCAAGCUAAUGAUAGGGAUGUACCAGUUUCUUGAUAAGCAAUGCAUAGGAUUAAGAUGUUAAAUUGCAAUGAGUAGAAUGAGUACUGUGCUGUAUAUUUAAUAAUAUUUUGAGCUUUGAUUAGCUAUAGAUCCAAGAUCCUUGUAUUAUAACAAAUAGGAGCUAAUAGGGUUGGGUAGGGUAGAAAGGUGCUGUCUGUAUGACAAAGCAGGUAAAAAAAAGUCAAUAAUACAUUAAUACAAAAGAAAUGAGUUAGCAGGUGUGAAGCAGCACUCAGAAUCAUUUUAGUCUGAUCCAACAAGGUAAUUAUUAUGUUCUUUAGCACCCCUGAGGUCCCCCCUCUCUCAACCCCUCCCCCAUAUAUUGAAUUAAAUGAAUGUGUCAAUAUCUUUGAAAUAGGAGGGUUAAUGUUAUCCAAUUCCUUGAAUAUAUCUAUAUCUCUAAGUCUGCCUGCCUGUCUACCUACCUACCUAUCUCAGUCAGUAGAGCAUGAGACUCUUAGUUAUGGGUUCGAGCCCCAGGUUGGGCAAAAGAUUCCUGCAUUGCAGAGGCUUGGACUAGAUGACCCUCGUAGCCCCUUCUAACUCUACAAUUCUAUGAAUCUAUCAUCUGCACACAUUUCCCCUGAAUGUUCUCUCAGCUCUCCAGAUGUUUGUUUUCGAUCUUUUCCAAGCUGUGGGUUUGUGUGUUGCCUGGAACAAACAGGCUCUGUUUAGCUUAUUAUAGAAAGAGGGGCGUCCUACACAGCACCUCUACACACACAAAAGGCUGAAGUGGAGCCUGUACUGGACUGGGAUGCUAUUUUAAUAGCCGAAAGGUCACCAGAAGUCUCCCCGUGGUCACUCGAUACCCUCUCUUGCGCUGCACAUUAGCAUUCCUCUCCGCAGGUCCCUUUCUACUAGUCUGAAAGAGUCGGCUCUCAACUCCUACACAAAAUGUGGAGUUGUUAGGAUUUGCAGAGGAGACAUUAAAUCAGCCUCUGGAGAUUCCUUUGUCAAAAGGAAGCCAUAUUUAUUAAAAGUGCAGUUGGCUCUUCACAUGUGUCAUAUUCCCUCCCGCUCCCCUUGGCCUUUCCCCUCCUUCUGGCACAUCCACCCCCUGCCCAGGGUGGGGGAAAAGCCCUCUGCAGGAACAUCCAGUGAAUAUUAUCUAGUGGCUCGUGCUUGUCAUUCUGUCCUGUGUGAUACUAUUUUUAGAAAGGGAUUUUCAUCCAAUUGCCGUUCAGCAGACUAGUUGUCAAGGCAAACACCGAGAAGGUGGUUGAGGUUGAAUUUGUCAAUGAUUCAGCAGUGCGGGCUGUUGUUAGCAAGCCAGGCUUGCCUCUCUGAUAAUAAUGUGCGCUCUGGCAUUUCUGAGAGCCGGUGUGAUGUUGCAGGUAGCAUGUUUGGCCCUGAAAGUGAAGGGCCUGACGGGCUCUAAUAACUCCCCAGGGAUGAAGCUUACAUCUUAGCGGUCCUUGGACCAAUAACAAUGCAUAGCAUCUGUAGCAACGCUUUAGAGCACUUAGUGCAAGGGUGGGCAUGGGGUUUUUGGACUAUGACAUACCCUCCAACAUUUCUCUGAUGAAAAUAGGGAGAUAUUAUUCUAUACCUUCCAACAUUUCUCCAGUGAAAAUAGAGACAUCCCCUCCAACGUUUCUCUGAUGAACAUAGGGACAUCCAAUUCCAUACCCUCCAACAUUUCUCCAAUGAAAUAGGGAUGUCCUAAGGAAAAGGGGGACAUUCUGGGAUCAAAUCAGAAAUGGGGACAGAUUCUGUAAAUCCAGGGCUGUCGCUAGAAAAUAGGGACACCUGGAGGGUCUGCUAUGACUCCCACCACACCAAGGCAGCAUGGUCAAUAGUCAAGGAUGAUGGGAGUUGCAGUCCAAAGCAUCUGGAAGGUUACAGGGUCCCCACUAAGGGGUUAAAUCUGUAAAUUUCAGUUUUUCAUAGCCCCCCCAUCUUGAAUUCUUCACAUUUCCACAUACCUUUGCAUUUCCCCCCACAUUCUUCAUUAAAAUUGUGAAUGAGAAAUUUUAUUGUGAAUUUCUCCUAAUAGACAUUUCUUUUUUUGCAAAUCAGCAUUCUGUAUCGUAAUGCACUUUCACAUGAUUUUCAGCAGUAUAUGCAUUUUUAUGCACACUUUGCCCUACUAUAUGCAUUUUGUACGCAUCACUUGGCAUGUUUCAGAAGAUGGCUGUGCUUCCAUUUACAGUUUUGGGGAAGCUUGCCUUGAAAUGCAAACAGAAGCAAAUUUGUUUGCCAUCCCUAUUCCCCACCAUGCCUGAGUAGACAUUAGUAAGACAGAUGGACCAAUAGCCUGAUUUUGUAUUAUGCAGCUUAUGACAAUCAAGUCAUAAGCUGGACUAGGUUAUCAUCUGUACUGUGUUGUACAAGGGACUGCCUUUCAAGAACAUUCAGAAACUCCUGUGUCAUAGAAUUGUAGAGAUGGACGGUAUCCCAAUUCAGGAAUCUCAGCUAAAGAAUCCCGGACAGAUAGCCAACCACCCUCUGUUUAAAAACAUCUAAUGAAGUUUUCCAUCACUUUCCGACAUACUCCUCUCCACUGUUGCAACAGCUCCUACCAUCAGAAAGCUCCUCCUAAAGUUUAGUUGGAAUUUUCUUUCUCGUAAUUGAACCCAUUGGUUUGGGUCCAGCCUUCUGGAGCAUCUGACAGCCCUUUGGGUAUCUGAAUCUGGCUAUCAUAUCACCUGUCAGCCUUCUCUUCUCCAGGUUAAACAUACCCAACUCCCUCAACUGCAGAUGGAACUAUUAAGAAGGAGUCACCAAAAUGAACACAUCUGCAGUUCAUUUAGAGAAGUGAAAUUCAAAGUGGUGGGUUUGUUUCAGAAGGUCCAAAAUGAACCAGGACCAGGACGAUGGUGUCUGAGGGACCAUCUUUGCCUGUAUGGACUUGCCUAUUCACAAAGAUCACCAUUACAGACCUGCUAAUCCCACCUACAGCGUUCAGUAUUUUAAAUUGUCUAGCUCACUUAUUAGAGCAAGGCCCUCACAAAAUGGCAUCCAUAAAAACAUAUACAGUGGUACCUCGGGUUUAGUACUUAAUUCGUUCUGGAGGUCCGUUCUUAACCUGAAACUGCUCUUAACCUGAAGCACCACUUUAGCUAAUGAGGCCUCCUGCUGCUGCUGCGCCACUGGAGCACGAUUUUUGUUCUCAUCCUGAAGCAAAGUUCUUAACCCGAGGUAAAUUUCUGGGUUAGCAGAGUCUGUAACCUGAAGCGUAUUUAACCUGAAGCGUAUGUAACAAUACUAUAUCUAUCUAUCUAUCAUCUAUCUAUCUAUCUAUCUAUCAUCUAUAGCUAUAGAAUCAGAAACUUUCAAAAAACAUUGAAACAAUAUAUCUCCCAAUUAUAUAAAAAAUCAGUAGCACAAAAUAUUAUUAUGAUAUACACUCUCUUAUUCUUGCUUCUGGCAUUGUCAGAUUGGUAUUCCACUGAUCAUAUCUAUACUAUUAUAUGUAACAAUACUGAUUAGACUAAGGUGCCCACUGUUAAAAGACAGACACUGUAAGGCACAAACCAGGAAUUCUUACAUGGGCUAGGAUCAUAUUCCUGGGAACUGAGAAAGAAGCAAGCACCAACUGUGAAACAUCAACGCACUAACAAAUUGCUGGGUUUUCAAAUGUGAACAUGGAACUGAGCAAUUAAGCAAAUUAUAGACAUUUAAGGCCAAGAAAAACCAUCCAUUGACUACCUCCCAGCCCCCACCCCAUGGAAGCCAUAGUUACCAGUAAAGGAUGGCAACUGUGGAAUAAAGCCAGAAAACAGAGACAUCACCAGAAAGAGUUAUGUUAAAUUCAGAAGAUCUGGGUUUAACUCUAUCCCUUUCCCAUAGUUAGAAAACCAAGAUGGUUAGGACACAUUCAACACAGUCAAUCAAAGGCAUGUAACAAAAUGAAUUUCAAUAUGGGCAAAUGUAAGCUUCUACACUUCUGCAGGAAGAACCAGCUGCACAAAUAUAAGAUGGGGGGCACCUGGCUUACUAGUAGUACAUGUGAAAAGGAUCUUGGGGUCUUAGUAGACCCCAAGCUUAACAAGAGUCAACAGUGUGAGCAGCUGCAAUAUAUAUAUAUAUAAUGCUAUUCCAGGCUGCAUCAACAGAAGUAUAGUGUCCAGAUCAAGGAACUAACAGUACCACUCUAUUCUGCCUUGGUCAGACAACACCUGGAGUAUUUGUCAGGAUACUGACAAGCUAUAACAUGAGCAGAGGAGGGUGACCAAGAUUAUCAAGGGCUGGAAAUCAAGCCUUAUGAGGAACAGUUGAGGGAGUUGGGUAUGUUUUGCUAGGAGAAGAAAAGACUGAGAGGAGAUAUGAUAGCCGCCUUCAAAUAUCUCAAGGGCUGUCACCUGGAAGAUGGAGCAUGCUCAUUUUCUCCUGCUCUGGAAGGUAACACCAUAACAACAUUCAAGUUAUAGGAAAGGAAUUUCCGACUCAACAUCAGGAAGGACUUUCUGGCAGUAAGAGCUGUUCGACGGUGAAAUGGUCUCGCUUGCGAGUUCGUGAACUCUCCUUCAUUGGAGGUUUUGAAGCAGAGGCCAAUGUCCAUCUGUCAUGGAUGCUUUAGUUGAGAUUCCUGCAUUGCAGGUGUCCCUUCCAACUCUACAAUUCUAUGAUUCAUUUGGGAAAUCACAAUUAUUUUUAAGGCAGAGGAGCCUUUUUCAGCCAGAGAGCACAUUCCCUUCUGAGCAGUCUUCCAGGGGGGCACAUACCAGUGGUGGCUGGGGCAGGAGGCACAACUGGGAGGAGCAACAAAUGUAAAGGCUUUGUAUGGUAGGCUAGUUUCAGCCCUUUCGAUCCUCUGUCCAGUUUUGGAUUGAGCAUCAUCUGAUGUCAACGACACAUUCCAGACAGAAAAAACCACUCAGCAAAGGUGUGAAUGGUUAGACUGUUGAACUAUAAUAUGGGAGACCACAGUUUGAAUCCCCAUGCAGCCAUGAAGCCCACUGAGUAGCAUUGGGCCAGUCACAGUCUCUCAGCCUAGCCAACCUCACAGGGCUGUUGUGAAGACAAAAUGGCAAGGAAAGAACCAUGUAUACCACUGUCAGGGGUUUUUUGUAGCAGUUCGAAAGCACAUCAAAGUGCAAGUAGAUAAAUAGGUACCACUCCAGCGGGAAGGUAAAUAGCGUUUCCGUGUGCUGCUCUGGUUCGCCGGAAGCAACUUAGUCAUGCUGGCCACAUGACCUGGAAGCUGUACACCGGCUCCCUCGGCCAAUAAAGUGAGAUGAGUGCUGCAACCCCAGAGUCGGACACGACUGGACCUAGUCGUCAGGGAUCCCUUUACCUUUACCUUGUGCUGUGUUUCUGGGCACAGGUCUGGGCUUCAAAGCUAUGUGUCCAAGCAGUUUUGAUUUAUUUGUUGUCGUUCCAGUGCUUUCCCCAGGAAAAUCCAUGUUUUGCCAUUGAACCGGAACAAAAGCAUUCGAGUUUUCUGUGGAUUGUCAUUUGCUCCAAUUCGGGGUGGGAGAGACCACUCUGACACAGAGCUUUGAAGCACAGACCUGUGGUCCUGGGUUCUGGCUCCACCUAUCCUUGAGCUCUCUGCUUUCCGCCCCACCAGUCCCAAUGGCUUCCAACCCAUCAUGAGGUCUGGAAAAGUGGGGAGGCUGUAGCAUACAAAUCAAAGUGAAGAAUGCAGACCUGGAGGUUCUUUGAAUCUGGGACUUCACUUCUGUCUCCUCCACCUCCUCUGUAAAAUCUUCUUAGCAGGAAUUUUGCAAACCUCCCGUUUAAACCCAGCAGCGAGAACCAUUUGUUUGCUUAGAGAUUAUUGAGGGUCCCUGAAGAGUGAGGUUGACCAAUAUUGAAUUUGUUAAUGCAGAUAAAACAACUUACAAGACGCUGGUUUCUAAUAAUACCAAGGUGUUGCUUUAAAGAUUAAUUAAACUCUAACAUAUUGAGCCAGCCUAGUAGACUCGUGAAUAAAUUCCCGGUGACAUACUGGGUUUCGUUUGCUCCCAGGGUUCGUUGGAGCUUGAUGCAUGGCAGAAAUGGCAAACUUCUGCUGAUUAUGCUCCCGUCUUGUUUGCUACGGCUCUCGCAUUCCAAAGCAGUUGCUGCGUCCCGGCGGACUCUUGAUUCAAUAGGCUUAAUUACAAAGUUGAAAAAUUGAGUCAUGCGCACAGGUCAAAUUAGAAUGUACUUAAUAUCCCUCCAAAGGAGAAUUUGGACCAGUUUAUCUACAGGGCUCCCAACUCCUGGGAAAAUGAAAGCACAAUCCAGAUCAAUAAUGCUAUUAAGGGCUGAAUUAGAAAUGAGUUCAAACAGGAAUCGCAAGGUGAUCAUGUUGGACCACAUGCUGGUUUGAAUGGAAAGAGCUACAGUAAAAUAGACUUCGUGACACCAGUGUAUGGACUACUUAGGAACAUAGGACGAGGCCUUAUAUGGAGUCAGACCAUUGGUCCACCUAACUUAGUAUUGGCUACACUAACUGGCAGCAGCUCUCCAGGGUUACAGGGAGGGGGUUUCUCCCAGCCCUGCCAGGAGAUGCCAGGGACCUUUUGCCUGCAAAAUCCAGGCUGUGCCACCAAAUUAUCAUAUUUCCCAACACCUCACAGGGUAUGUUAAGCUUAAAUAUGUGCAUAAUUUAUCAUCUCCUUUCCCCCCCACCCUAAAACUAACUCUAACUCUUUGCUUGACAUUCUCCGUUAUUUAUUUGUGGCUCUCAUCAGACGCCAUCACUUCACAACUCUGAAGAUCCAGACUCAUCAGUUGAAAAGCAUCAACUUGAGAGUACAAUACAGUGACACUGGAUUUGUAUAAUGAUGACACUGAGGCAAUUCUACUGUAAAACGAUCUGUACCAUUAAACUCAAGAAACAUAUUCCUUGCAAAGGGAGAAGGGGGAGAGAAACCCCCCCCCCAACCUAUGCUUUCUAAGGCUGCUAGACAACAAUUUUUGAUGCAAGAUAAUGUGUGCAGCAUGGGAAGAUUUGCACAACUGAGGCAACAGUUUCCUAGCAACCAUAGAUCCUCUACGAAUCCUUUCACUGAUAACCAUUAAAAUGUAUGUUAAAUAGCAUUAGGCACUGAAAAAAGAGAGAAAAGAAAUGGAAUCAUGAGGAGAUUCACAUCUUACAAAGACUGGGAACUGUUUAAGCAGUGCAGUGUUCAAGUUUUUGAUGCAAAAUAUAUCCAUGCCCCAAAAUAAUGAUGCCACUCUCAAAAUAGUACUACUAACUUCAUAUCAGGCUCAUUAUCUUAUCACUAUUUUUCUUAUUACAUUUAUUACCUGCCCUUCAUCAGCAGGUCCCAGAAUGGGUUGCAGCAAUUUGAAAUUGCAACCAACCCUAAAUGAGGCUGCCAUUUAGUAGUGGGUCCUGACCUACCAGUUGAAGAUCAAUGUCAUAGAGGACAAGGGAUGUGCAUUCUGCUUCCCUCCCAGACCAAUGCUUUGAAAUAGCCAGGUAGAAAGGCCUAUGUUCUCCUUUACAAGAGAUGCCAAUGAAAGUCUUGACCCAGGCUCAGAGGAGAACUUUGGAGACUAAAACACCUGGCCUGAAAGUGAGCUCUACAAGGUCUGAAAUUCUUCUCCAUCUCAGAUCAAAAUCCGAGCUAGAUCCCUAUCUUCUAUGCCAGCUUUCUCUGACCCAGUUCCCCUCCAGACUUUUUGUACUGCAACUCCCCAUUAGCCUCACCAGUGUUGGGGAAGCUUGCACCACACUCUUCCUUUCCUUAACUUGGUCACAAUGGGAGCAGCAGCAAGGAAAAGAAAGAGAGGGGAGAUUUUUCUUUCUCCUUCUUCUACCAACUGCCCAUUGCACCGAUCCUACUUUGCAACAGGGCAUGGGGAACACUGGGAGAUGUCAUUCCCACAAAGGCUCUCACAAUUGUAUUACACUUUCAAUUAAGCAUGAUGAGGAAGUUUGUCUGGGCCACCUGCAGUAACAAACUUCGGGGUCUCAAAAUUGCAAUUGCAGCAGUCUUUCGGAGAACUACAUCUCCCAUGAGUCACUGGGAUCUGAUGCCUGGCACAUUGCUAAUCAGUCAAUACACCAGAGCAUUUGAGAAGGGAGUGAGGAAGUGGGGGGGAAACCCUUUCCCUGGGGAGAAAGGCUGGCAGGCUGGCAGGGACCACCUCUGGAGAUGGGUAGUUUUCCUGAACUCCUUGAAUUGGCUCAGAUUCAGAAAAAUUAUCUGAGUUCUCCACCUCCCCCCACCCAAAGGGAUAAUUAGCAAGGUAAUCUGAAAUACGUUUUAGAGAGUUCACACAUUCCCAAUUUUUAUUGGACAAACAGCUUCACAUAAUUGAAUAAUUUAAGUUUGGGUGAGGUCAGCCUAUCAGGGAAAGAUUUUCCCCCAUGAAGGUCUAUCUAGCCAUUCCCUUCAUGGGACAAGUUUUUAAUAUUCUAGGAAGUGGGACUAGUGUUUCCUCCUGCUACCCAUGAUAUUCAACCCAAAGACCUUCAGCAUACAGAUCAGGUGAGCGUUUCAUGUGUCUUGAAUAAUAUGCUAAAAUUGCUUUCACUUUUGGGGAUCUGUUUCUUUCAGCGACACCUAAGCCACUGCCCAUAUGCUGAGCCCCAUGGCUGAGAGAGGUCAUCCUUCCAUCCUACUGGAUGCCAUAUGGUGGCAAUUGAGAAGACUCAAACAGAAGAAUGAAACUUAAGCAGGGUGCUUUAGAGAAGUCUGGGGAUAUUGAGCAAAUAGGCUCUUCAUAUUAUGAGAUCAUGUAUCAGGUGAUGCAUUCUUCCCACGCUUAUGAGUUAAUUAUGAAAAAAAGC
Molecule: non-coding RNA, 15726 nt
Organism: Podarcis lilfordi (Lilford's wall lizard)
Lineage: Eukaryota; Metazoa; Chordata; Lepidosauria; Squamata; Lacertidae
Source: the annotation of a GenBank genome assembly